RNAcentral lists this ribosomal RNA (253 nucleotides) under uncultured bacterium. Its description in RNAcentral is "partial 16S ribosomal RNA". It matches the Rfam family "Bacterial small subunit ribosomal RNA", at positions 524 to 776 of the family's 1533-position model. The record is from RNAcentral.
UACAGAGGUCUCAAGCGUUGUUCGGAUUCAUUGGGCGUAAAGGGCGCGUAGGCGGCGGGGUAAGUCGGGUGUGAAAUCUCAGAGCUCAACUCUGAAACUGCACUCGAUACUGCUCUGCUUGAGGACUGGAGAGGAGACUGGAAUUCACGGUGUAGCAGUGAAAUGCGCAGAUAUCAGGAGGAACACCAAUAGCGAAGGCAGCUCGCUGGGACGGUACUGACGCUAAGGCGCGAAAGCGUGGGGAGCGAACAGG